CCAAAGUCAUGGUUAAGUGGGAAACGAUGUGGGAAGGCCCAGACAGCCAGGAUGUUGGCUUAGAAGCAGCCAUCAUUUAAAGAAAGCGUAAUAGCUCACUGGUCGAGUCGGCCUGCGCGGAAGAUGU
Molecule: ribosomal RNA, 127 nt
Filed under: Salmonella enterica subsp. enterica serovar Kentucky
Lineage: Bacteria; Pseudomonadati; Pseudomonadota; Gammaproteobacteria; Enterobacterales; Enterobacteriaceae
Description: partial 23S ribosomal RNA
Rfam family: Bacterial large subunit ribosomal RNA
Source: RNAcentral